Pseudopipra pipra is the source of this 1391-nucleotide long non-coding RNA. RefSeq lists it as uncharacterized. The record is from RefSeq and is a predicted model, not a curated record. The transcript is spliced from 2 exons. Lineage: Eukaryota; Metazoa; Chordata; Aves; Passeriformes; Pipridae.
CAACAUUGAAAUUUGCAUGAAGUUUAAGAAGAAAAGAAGUUCCUCUCUGAUCUUCUCCUUUUGCAAUUCUAAUCAAUGAAUGAGAAUGCUUGGGUAAACAUGCCUUCCUCUGCUGUGCUGGUAACCCAGCCCUCAGAGUGAUGGGUUUGAAUCUGAGAACCUCCAAGUGACAUCUUUGACUGGGAAAACUGUCACUGACUGACUGCCUCCUUCAAGCUGACUACAAUGCAGUCCACAAAUAAAGUGCUCAGGCAAGUAUGGGUUGUUUAUAUGAUUCAUAUAAAGUGCAACUUUUCUGCUUUUAGAAAGAAACACAAGUCAAAUCUCUGACAAAGCUCUGAAGAGUAAGCUGUAGUCCACAUUGCUAUAUCUUGCUCCUUGCUGUGAUAUCUGAAUAUUUUGUGGAACUCUAUAAUGCAUGACUGCCACUGAAGCCUGUGGUGUUUUCCUCUGCCUUCAACAGCCACUGGAAAGACACGGAGAAAAUUAUUGAAGAGGGAGGAAACAUUUACAAAUAGUGGCUAUGUUACUUCUUAAGCCAAAAAAGAAAAAAAAAAGGGCAAAAAUAAAAGCAUAGUUAAACGGCAGGAAGUGGUUCUUCAGAGAAUAAUUCUCCCAAGCUCUUGUCCCAUUUUUCGCCUUGAUCCCAUAAGUAGAACACAGCAACUCUCGAAGGACAGGUGUGGGCUGCUGGCUCCAUGGGACAUGUGCAAGCACACUGCCUGUCGGUCUAAGUGAAGAGGGAGAGAGAGCACCUGCAUGCCUCUGGGAAGAUGAUGCCUCAGAAGAGAGGGGAAGAUGAAAUGCAGCAGGCAGGCAGGAGGAGGCUGUGACAAGCAAGGGGGAGGCAAAAAAUGGCUAGUAGAGGAACUGGGAAGAAGAAUCUGCCCACAAGGAAACUCUUUUUAGCUGUCAGUGUGACAGCACUCUCACUGCACGACAGCAGCUGUGCUGACCACAGGCACUGCCCUGAUGCCUGGUCUGGCAGUCUGGUCACGCCCAGCCCUGUCCUGACAUGGGCAGGCAGCACCCAGCCUCUGCCAUUGGAAAGCAUGGACAUGGAGACAUGGGGACACCUGAGCAGAUGGGAGACCAAAACAUGCAGCAAAGCUGUGGAGAUCCCCCAGCCCCUGGAAGAUGGUGGAGCUGUGGGACUGAAGGCAUCAUUUGCGGACAUGAGAUGAGUGUGCAGGAUGUGCUGCUCCAGCUAAAGGCCUGCUUCCCAUCUAACAUCUUCUGGCCACAAUUAAUUUUGAAAUGUAUGAAAGUACCUGUGACGUUUUGAAAAAAUAUGACAAUAUUUUCCUGUUGCUUGGAGAGAUGUAGCUGGAGAUAAGAGCUAUGUUUAAAACAACUCAUCAUGAACUGAAAUAAAGAAUAACUGAGACUUA